GUUCUUGUGGCGCAGUGGUAGCGCGCCGUUCUUAUAUUGGUCUUUUGCACUGAUAUGGUCGCUUGUAUAAGUCAUGCGGAUGUCCUGGGUUCGACCCCCAGCAGGAACA
Non-coding RNA from Viridothelium virens, 109 nucleotides. The record is from the annotation of a GenBank genome assembly. NCBI's taxonomy places the organism in Eukaryota, Fungi, Ascomycota, Dothideomycetes, Trypetheliales, Trypetheliaceae.